AUGGAUGAAAGAAAAGAAAGAAGGAAGGGAGAGGAAAGCACCAUUGAUUAUAGUAUAGUGAGGACCCAUUGGGAAUCUAAUAAAGAUACUUUCCUGUUUCCUGGCCUAUGGUGUCUUGAACAUAGGGCUUAGACCUCCAGACAUGGUGACCUUCUGUGGUUGAGAAGCCUGC
RNAcentral lists this long non-coding RNA (172 nucleotides) under Monodelphis domestica (gray short-tailed opossum). RNAcentral's name for it is "lncRNA (ENSMODG00000049456.1)". The record is from RNAcentral. Lineage: Eukaryota; Metazoa; Chordata; Mammalia; Didelphimorphia; Didelphidae.